Molecule: transfer RNA, 75 nt
Filed under: Clostridium sp.
Lineage: Bacteria; Bacillati; Bacillota; Clostridia; Eubacteriales; Clostridiaceae
Also listed under: 5 other names
Description: tRNA-Gln
Rfam family: tRNA
About the family: Transfer RNA (tRNA) molecules are approximately 80 nucleotides in length. Their secondary structure includes four short double-helical elements and three loops (D, anti-codon, and T loops).
Source: RNAcentral
UGGGGUGUAGCCAAGCGGUAAGGCACUAGACUCUGACUCUGGCAUUCGCAGGUUCGAAUCCUGCCACUCUAGCCA